This 468-nucleotide ribosomal RNA is filed under the name uncultured bacterium. Its description in RNAcentral is "partial 16S ribosomal RNA". It matches the Rfam family "Bacterial small subunit ribosomal RNA", at positions 28 to 507 of the family's 1533-position model. The record is from RNAcentral.
GACGAACGCUGGCGGCGUGCUUAACACAUGCAAGUCGAACGGAAAGGCCCUGCUUUUGUUGGGUUCUCGAGUGGCGAACGGGUGAGUAACACGGGAGUAACCUGCCCUUGACUUUGGUAUAACGUCAGGAAACUGGGGCUAAUACCGGAUAGGAGCUCCUGCUGCAUGUUGGGGGUUGGAAAGUUUCGGCGGUUGGGUAUGGACUCGCGGCUUAUCAGCUUGUUUGUGGGGUAGUGGCUUACCAAGGCUUUGACGGGUAGCCGGCCUGAGAGGGUUACCGGCCCACUUGGGACUGAGCUACGGCCCAGAGUACUACGGGAGGCAGCAGUGGGGACUAUUGCACAAUGCGCGGAAGCAUGAUGCAGCAACGCCGCGUGCCGGAUGACGGCCUUCGGGUUGUAAACAGCUUUAGCCUGUGACGAAGCGUGAGUGACGGUAAUGUGUAAAGAAGCACCGGCUAACUCCGUG